Molecule: ribosomal RNA, 508 nt
Filed under: uncultured bacterium
Lineage: Bacteria
Description: bacterial SSU rRNA
Rfam family: Bacterial small subunit ribosomal RNA
Source: RNAcentral
UGGGCGAAAGCCUGAUGCAGCGAUACCGCGUGGGUGAAGAAGGCCCUCGGGUCGUAAAGCCCUGUCAGAGGGAAAGAUAAUGACGGUACCCUCUAAGGAAGCCACGGCUAAUUACGUGCCAGCAGCCGCGGUAAUACGUAAGUGGCGAGCGUUAUCCGGAAUUACUGGGCGUAAAGUGUGCGUAGGCGGUUUAGUGUGUGGGAAUUGAAAGCCCGGGGCUCAACUCCGGAUCCGGUUCCCAAACUGCUAGACUCGAGCGUAUCAGAGGACAGUGGAAUUCCCGGUGUAGCGGUAAUAUGCGUAGAUAUCGGGAGGAACACCAGUGGCGAAGGCGACUGUCUGGGGUAUUGCUGACGCUGAGGCACGAAAGCCAGGGGAGCGAACGGGAUUAGAUACCCCGGUAGUCCUGGCUGUAAACGAUGAUCACUAGGUGUAGGAGGCUUCGACCCCUUCUGCGCCGCCGCUAACGCAUUAAGUGAUCCGCCUGGGGAGUACGGCCGCAAGGUUA